RNAcentral lists this ribosomal RNA (468 nucleotides) under uncultured bacterium. RNAcentral's name for it is "partial 16S ribosomal RNA". It matches the Rfam family "Bacterial small subunit ribosomal RNA", at positions 28 to 507 of the family's 1533-position model. The record is from RNAcentral.
GAUGAACGCUGGCGGCGUGCUUAACACAUGCAAGUCGAACGGUGAGGCCCAGCUUGUGUGGUGGACUCGUGUCGCAAACGUGAGUAAAACGCGAGUAUACCCCGCCCAAGACUUGGGUAAACCUUCAGAAAUCGGUCGAAAACAGCGUAUGGGCGCUCACCCCGCGGGGUGUGGGGGGAAGAUUUUUGGCGGUUGGGGAUGGACUCGCGGCUUAUCAGCUUGUUGGUGGGGUAGUGGCUUACCAAGGCUUUGACGGGUAGCCGGCCUGAGAGGGUGACCGGCCACAUUGGGACUGAGAUACGGCCCAGACUCCUACGGGAGGCAGCAGUGGGGAAUAUUGCACAAUGGGCGGAAGCCUGAUGCAGCAACGCCGCGUGCGGGAUGACGGCCUUCGGGUUGUAAACCUCUUUCGCCUGUGACGAAGCGUGAGUGACGGUAAUGGGUAAAGAAGCACCGGCUAACUACGUG